This 73-nucleotide transfer RNA is filed under the name Cyrtopodion sp. 1 MPH-2013. RNAcentral's name for it is "tRNA-Asn". The record is from RNAcentral. Lineage: Eukaryota; Metazoa; Chordata; Lepidosauria; Squamata; Gekkonidae.
UAGGUUAAAGCCCGCUGGGUUGGGUGUUUAGUUGUUAAUUAAAAUUUUACGGGAUCGAGGCCCGUUAGCCUAG